UCAAUAAGCGGAGGAAAAGAANCCAACAGGGAUUGCCCUAGUAACGGCGAGUGAAGCGGCAACAGCUCAAAUUUGAAAUCUGGCUUCGGCCCGAGUUGUAAUUUGCAGAGGAUGUUUAUGGUGCGGUACCUUCCGAGUUCCCUGGAACGGGACGCCACAGAGGGUGAGAGCCCCGUCUGGUUGGAUACCAAACCUGUGUUAAACUCCUUCAACGAGUCGAGUAGUUUGGGAAUGCUGCUCUAAAUGGGAGGUAAAUCUCUUCUAAAGCUAAAUACUGGCCAGAGACCGAUAGCGCACAAGUAGAGUGAUCGAAAGAUGAAAAGCACCUUGAAAAGGGGGUUAAACAGUACGUGAAAUUGUUGAAAGGGAAGCGUUUAUGACCAGACUUGUGUCGUGUGGCUCAUCCGAGGUUCUCCCCGGUGCACUCCACGCGGCUCAGGCCAACAUCGGUUCUUGUUGGAGGAUAAGAACAGUAGGAACGUAGCUCUCCUUCGGGGGAGUGUUAUAGCCUAUUGUACGAUACUCUGAUGGGGACCGAGGACCGCGCUUCGGCUAGGAUGUUGGCGUAAUGGUCAUUAGCGACCCGUCUUGAAACACGGACCAAGGAGUCGUCCAUUAGAGCGAGCGUUUGGGUGUAAAACCCGCACGCGUAAUGAAAGUGAAAUUAGGUGAGAGCUUCGGCGCAUCAUCGACCGAUCCUGAAGUUUACGGAUGGAUUUGAGUAAGAGUUUUAACGGACGGACCCGAAAGACAGUGAACUAUGCUUGAAUAGGGUGAAGCCAGAGGAAACUCUGGUGGAGGCUCGCAGCGGUUCUGACGUGCAAAUCGAUCGUCAAAUUUGAGCAUGGGGGCGAAAGACUAAUCGAACUGUCUAGUAGCUGGUUACC
RNAcentral lists this ribosomal RNA (887 nucleotides) under Plagiostoma salicellum. Its description in RNAcentral is "LSU rRNA". It matches the Rfam family "Eukaryotic large subunit ribosomal RNA", at positions 43 to 959 of the family's 3401-position model. The record is from RNAcentral. Lineage: Eukaryota; Fungi; Ascomycota; Sordariomycetes; Diaporthales; Gnomoniaceae.